This is a small nucleolar RNA of Thalassophryne amazonica, 141 nucleotides long. Lineage: Eukaryota; Metazoa; Chordata; Actinopteri; Batrachoidiformes; Batrachoididae. The record is from RefSeq and is a predicted model, not a curated record.
UUGCACUGUCUUUGAACCUAGUUGGUCCUCUUGGUGACCUCUUAAGGCCAAGCUACAGUGCUAUAGCAAACCCAGAAUUGUUCAUAACUGGGGCAUCCUGGAAUCACCACCAGGUUGCUCUUUUAAAAGCAAAUCACAGCU